AAUCCUUACGCUAUGUUUACUUGGAUGGAAUUACAAUUCCAUCGAGGGACUAUUCUGAGUACGGUAGCUAUUCCAUUGUUUAGUUCACAGAAUACUAAUCUUCAUUCUAGCAGUAUUCUUUAAAAACGCUGAAUGGUCAUUCAGCAUUUAACCUAUGAAAUGGCUAUUCAGCAAAUACAAGGAAUAGCUUAAAAAAAUUUUCUUCCCAGCGUACCCAUAAGAAAAUCACAAAUUUACAAGCUUAUAUUUGGCAAAAAAAAAAACUGGAGACUCUAUUCUUUCACCAUUUUCUUCCUAUCGAGUUAAGGGGAAAGAAAGCUCAAAACACUCGAAAACGUCUCUAGAUUAGCCGCAUUCAUCUACGUACAAGUGGUACUUCAGCCAAGAAGUAAUUGAGAACCACUCUCCAUCUAGGAAGGACGGAAUCAACCUUAAAAAAGAGGAGUAGUUGUGAUGUCAUAUUGUUCUUUUCUUCAAAAGCUUGGACUUAAGCUUAAAGUACCUCAAGUAGCAAUAGCAUGUGUAAUGAUGUUCUGUCACCGGUUUUACAUGCGCCAAUCCAUGCAAAGAAGGAUUGACAGGGAUUGGAUCUUCUAAUAGGAGGAGAUCAUCAAGUUGUCAUUCACACUCAAACAUGUAUUCAUUUACUCAAGAAGAUGAUGGGUGUUUCAACUACAUUUCAAGUGAGGCUGCUAAUGUAUAAACAAUUUUGUUACCUUUCACCUUUCAAUGCUUUAGUUUGGAUCUUUGGAGUAAGGUGACAAAAGGGAAGAAAAGCAAGAUGAUAUAUUAACUUUUUGUAUGGGUAAAUGGGUGUGGUGGUGGAGUAAUAUAACUUUUUUGUAUGUAAUUACAGGAUGAUAUAUUGACAUGGAAGUAUAUCAUAUUAAUAUUGUCACUUUUUGUAUAUGUGUAAAUGAGUUUUCUACUGUAAUUGAACUCUUGAAAGUUGAUCAUGGUUUGUUAUGUUAUUUAGAUGCUGAGAUGAUGGUUGGAUUA
Long non-coding RNA from Gossypium arboreum, 999 nucleotides. RefSeq lists it as uncharacterized. The transcript has 4 exons. Lineage: Eukaryota; Viridiplantae; Streptophyta; Magnoliopsida; Malvales; Malvaceae. The record is from RefSeq and is a predicted model, not a curated record.